CAUGAGUAAGUGGCGACCGGGUGAGUACACGUGACUAACCUACCUUCGAGUGGGGGAUAACCUCGUGGACAACGAUGCUAAUACCGCAUAACAUCGUGAGAUCAAAGCAGCAAUGCGCUGGAAGAGGGGGUCGCGGCUGAUAAGCUAGUUGGCGGGGUAACGGCCCACCAAGGCGAAUAUCGGUAUCCGGCCUGAGAUGGCGCACGGCCACACUGGAACUGAAACACGGUCCAUACUCCUACGGGAGGCAUCAGUGGGGAAUUUUGCGCAAUGGGGGAAACCCUGACGCAUCAUCGCCGCGUGGAGGAUGAAGCCCCUUGGGGCGUAAACUCCUUUCGACCAAUACGAUAAUGACUGUACUGGUGGAAGAAUCACCGGCUAACUCUGUGCCAGCAGCCGCGGUAAU
This 406-nucleotide ribosomal RNA is filed under the name uncultured bacterium. RNAcentral describes it as "bacterial SSU rRNA". It matches the Rfam family "Bacterial small subunit ribosomal RNA", at positions 86 to 524 of the family's 1533-position model. The record is from RNAcentral.